AUUGAACGCUGGCGGCAGGCUUAACACAUGCAAGUCGAGCGGAGUGAUGGUGCUUGCUCCAUCACUUAGCGGCGAACGGGUGAGUAAUGCCUAGGAAUCUGCCCAUUAGCGGGGGACAACGUGUGGAAACGCACGCUAAUACCGCAUACGCCUUACGGGGGAAAGCAGGGGACUCGUUGAGCCUUGCACUAAUGGAUGAGCCUAGGUCAGAUGAGCUAGUUGGGGGGGUAAAGGCCUACCAAGGCGACGAUCUGUAGCGGGUCUGAGAGGAUGAUCCGCCACACUGGGAAUGAGACACGGUCCAGAAUCCUACGGGAGGGAGCAGUGGGGAAUAUUGGACAAUGGGCGCCAGCCUGAUUCCGCCAUGCCGCGUGUGUGAAGAAGGCCUUUUGGUUGUAAAGCACUUUAAGCGAGGAGGAGGCUUACCUGGUUAAUACCUGGGAUAAGUGGACGUUACUCGCAGAAUAAGCACCGGCUAACUCCGUG
RNAcentral lists this ribosomal RNA (486 nucleotides) under uncultured bacterium. RNAcentral's name for it is "partial 16S ribosomal RNA". It matches the Rfam family "Bacterial small subunit ribosomal RNA", at positions 30 to 507 of the family's 1533-position model. The record is from RNAcentral.